Molecule: ribosomal RNA, 651 nt
Filed under: Streptomyces sp. SCA2-2
Lineage: Bacteria; Bacillati; Actinomycetota; Actinomycetes; Kitasatosporales; Streptomycetaceae
Description: partial 23S ribosomal RNA
Rfam family: Bacterial large subunit ribosomal RNA
Source: RNAcentral
ACAGUGGACGCGAGCAUCUGUGGCCAAGUUUUUAAGGGCGCACGGUGGAUGCCUUGGCACCAGGAACCGAUGAAGGACGUGGGAGGCCACGAUAGUCCCCGGGGAGUCGUCAACCAGGCUUUGAUCCGGGGGUUUCCGAAUGGGGAAACCCGGCAGUCGUCAUGGGCUGUCACCCGCUGCUGAACUCAUAGGCAGUGUGGAGGGAACGCGGGGAAGUGAAACAUCUCAGUACCCGCAGGAAGAGAAAACAACCGUGAUUCCGGGAGUAGUGGCGAGCGAAACUGGAUGAGGCCAAACCGUAUGUGUGUGAUACCCGGCAGGGGUUGCGCAUGCGGGGUUGUGGGAUCUCUCUUCUACGGUCUGCCGGCCGUGGGACGAGUCAGAAACCGUUGAUGUAGGCGAAGGACAUGCGAAAGGUCCGGCGUAGAGGGUAAGACCCCCGUAGUCGAAACAUCAGCGGCUCGUUUGAGAGACACCCAAGUAGCACGGGGCCCGAGAAAUCCCGUGUGAAUCUGGCGGGACCACCCGCUAAGCCUAAAUAUUCCCUGGUGACCGAUAGCGGAUAGUACCGUGAGGGAAUGGUGAAAAGUACCGCGGGAGCGGAGUGAAAUAGUACCUGAAACCGUGUGCCUACAAGCCGUGGGAGCGUCG